RNAcentral lists this ribosomal RNA (303 nucleotides) under uncultured bacterium. RNAcentral describes it as "partial 16S ribosomal RNA". It matches the Rfam family "Bacterial small subunit ribosomal RNA", at positions 507 to 809 of the family's 1533-position model. The record is from RNAcentral.
AGCAGUCGCCGCGGUAAUACGGAGGAUCCAAGCGUUAUCCGGAAUCAUUGGGUUUAAAGGGUCCGUAGGCGGUCUUGUAAGUCAGUGGUGAAAGCCCAUCGCUCAACGGUGGAACGGCCAUUGAUACUGCAGGACUUGAAUUAUUGGGAAGUAACUAGAAUAUGUAGUGUAGCGGUGAAAUGCUUAGAGAUUACAUGGAAUACCAAUUGCGAAGGCAGGUUACUACCAAUUGAUUGACGCUGAUGGACGAAAGCGUGGGUAGCGAACAGGAUUAGAUACCCGUGUAGUCCCUGUCUCUUAUAU